GACGAACGCUGGCGGCGUGCUUAACACAUGCAAGUCGAGCGGUAAGGCCCUUUCGGGGGUACACGAGCGGCGAACGGGUGAGUAACACGUGGGUGACCUGCCCUCAGCUCUGGGAUAAGCCUGGGAAACCGGGUCUAAUACUGGAUAUGACUCCAUGACGCAUGUUGUGGGGUGGAAAGCCUUGUGCGGCUGAGGAUGGGCCCGCGGCCUAUCAGCUUGUUGGUGGGGUGAUGGCCUACCAAGGCGACGACGGGUAGCCGGCCUGAGAGGGCGACCGGCCACACUGGGACUGAGACACGGCCCAGACUCCUACGGGAGGCAGCAGUGGGGAAUCUUGCGCAAUGGGCGAAAGCCUGACGCAGCGACGCUGCGUGAGGGAUGAC
RNAcentral lists this ribosomal RNA (383 nucleotides) under uncultured bacterium. RNAcentral describes it as "bacterial SSU rRNA". It matches the Rfam family "Bacterial small subunit ribosomal RNA", at positions 28 to 412 of the family's 1533-position model. The record is from RNAcentral.